AGACUACAUUUUUCUUUCUUGAUUUUGCAGGAAAACUAGGUGUCUGUGUUCACUCCAGGCUGAAGUUACAGGUGAGUAAACCUAAAUGUAAGGUGGACUAUGCUAAAAAUUCCCAAUGAAGAAACUUUCACAUGUCUUACUCUCUGUCCUAGUCCCAGAGCCUGUAAAGGUGAACCCACUGGGACUGGCUGGGGGAGAAGAGGAAGAUUUGUUCCAGAAGGAACUGUCUGAGGGAUGAUAAAGAUUUCUAUACAGAGAAAGGGAGUAAUCAUCACUUGUUGAAAACAUUGGUUUUAUUUUUUCCAGGUCUGAGCAAAUAAGGUGUAUAAAAAAUGGUAGGUAUCUGUUUAAAUAUUUAACUGAUUUUAUAAUAGCAACCUUUUGCUCCUAGGUUACAUAGUGUUAAAUAUUGUGUUCAUUUGUAUUUUCCAAUCCAAUAAGAACUUUUUUUUUUACCUCUGCAGGAAUCUGUCUUGGAGGACAUCAGAAGGUGAAUUUUCCAAGUUCUUGGACAACCUAGCUGUUGAAAAGCUUUCUGGGUUUGGGGGGUAUUUCAGAUGUACCUUAAAGUGUUAGCAGACACAGAUUAAGACACUGGGAGCCAAUGAAACAGCAGUUGAGGGUUUGCUGUGUAUCACAUUUCUGUAUUUUAUCACCCCCUUCCUGCAACAUUAUUUAUCUGGAAUCUACCUGCCCUUUUGUUUUUUAGAUACAAGGGCUUGGUUUUGUUACCCAGGCUGGUUUCAAGGCCAUAGCUUUAAGAGAUCCUCUCACCACAGAUUUCCAAAGUGCUGGGAUUGCAGGUGUGAUUCAUGGCACCCAGACUUUGCUGCCUUUCUUACAUGAUCCAGGCCCAGAACCCAAACUCAGGCACUGUAUAGAUGACCACUUUCGUAAACUACUGACCUAGCUUGUUGCCAAUUGUUGAUUGAACUUCCCAUAACUCCACUUCGUGUCUGUUCCUCUGUAUACAGCCACCUUCUGUUCCCGUCAUGAGCCUUUAGGUCUCCAUUUGCAUAUUGCAAAUACUAUGUUCCAUGUAGGUAGCUCAUUCAGGGCCUUGCUCUUCACUUCAAAAAAGGUUCCCUUGAGGACUGGCUGUCAAUUUGUGUUGCUGUGUUGGUUGUUGAUGAAAAUAAUAAAAUGAUUGAUUACAUA
Molecule: long non-coding RNA, 1158 nt
Filed under: Homo sapiens (human)
Lineage: Eukaryota; Metazoa; Chordata; Mammalia; Primates; Hominidae
Description: HSALNT0363114
Rfam family: Small nucleolar RNA SNORD22 (bases 111-236)
Source: RNAcentral